CCUACGGGAGGCUGCAGUGAGGAAUAUUGGUCAAUGGCCGCGAGCCUGAACCAGCCAAGUAGCGUGAAGGAUGACUGCCCUACGGGUUGUAAACUUCUUUUAUCAAGGAAUAAAGUGAGGCACGUGUGCCUUUUUGUAUGUACUUUAUGAAUAAGGAUCGGCUAACUCCGUGCCAGCAGCCGCGGUAAUACGGAGGAUCCGAGCGUUAUCCGGAUUUAUUGGGUUUAAAGGGUGCGUAGAUGGGUUGUUAAGUCAGGGGUGAAAGUUUGCGGCUCAACCGUCAAAUUGCCAUUGAUACUGGCAGUCUUGAGUACAGUUGAGGUAGGCGGAAUGCGUGGUGUAGCGGUGAAAUGCUUAGAUAUCACGAAGAACUCCGAUUGCGAAGGCAGCUUAC
RNAcentral lists this ribosomal RNA (394 nucleotides) under uncultured bacterium. Its description in RNAcentral is "partial 16S ribosomal RNA". It matches the Rfam family "Bacterial small subunit ribosomal RNA", at positions 338 to 729 of the family's 1533-position model. The record is from RNAcentral.